GCCUGGGUGGCUCAGUCGAUUAAGCAUCUGACUUCAGCUCAGGUCAUGAUCUCAUGGUCCGUGAGUUUGAGCCUCACGUCGGGCU
This is a non-coding RNA of Felis catus (domestic cat), 85 nucleotides long. NCBI's taxonomy places the organism in Eukaryota, Metazoa, Chordata, Mammalia, Carnivora, Felidae. The record is from Rfam.